GGUGAGCUACCCCGAGACAGCCUAUAUUAAUUUAGGGCUAACCCGUCUCUGUGGCAAAAGAGUGGAAAGAGCUCCGGGUAGAAGUGAAAGACCUACCGAACCUGGUGAUAGCUGGUUGACUGAGAAAUGGAUAGAAGUUCAGCCUCGCACACCCCAAACCAAAAAAUAUUAUCACCAAGAUAUUAAGGGAAACGUACGAGAGUUAGUUAAAAGGGGUACAGCCCUUUUAACAAAGGAUACAACCUUUACAGGAGGAUAAAGAUCAUAAUGUAUAAGAUAUACUGUUCUAGUGGGCCUGAAAGCAGCCACCUAAACAGAAAGCGUUAAAGCUCGGACAGAAGGAAGUUUAUUAUACUGAUAAAAAAUCUUAUUCCCCUAGCUAUAUCAGACCAACCCAUGCCUCCAUGGAAGAGAUUAUGCUAAAAUGAGUAAUAAGAAGACCCGCUCUUCUCCCAGCACAAGUGUAAACCAGAUCGGACUGACCACUGGAACUUAACGAACCCAACCCCAGAGGGUAGUGUGAUUAACAAAAAACUCAAGAAGGCCUCACAUAACUAAUCGUUAACCCCACACUGGAGUGCUAUUUUAAGGGAAAGACUAAAAGAAGGGGAAGGAACUCGGCAAACACAAGCCUCGCCUGUUUACCAAAAACAUCGCCUCCUGCAACUAAACUGAGUAUAGGAGGUCCAGCCUGCCCAGUGACUACAGGUUCAACGGCCGCGGUAUCUUGACCGUGCAAAGGUAGCGCAAUCACUUGUCUCUUAAAUAGAGACCUGUAUGAAUGGCUAGACGAGGGCUUAACUGUCUCCCCCUUCCAGUCAGUGAAAUUGAUCUAUCCGUGCAGAAGCGGGUAUAAAUAUACAAGACGAGAAGACCCUUUGGAGCUUAAGGUACAAAAUUCAGCCACGUUAAACAACUCUAUAAGAAGCAAGAACUUAGUGAUAAUGAAAUUUUACCUUCGGUUGGGGCGACCGCGGAGGAAAAACAAGCCUCCGAGUGGACUGGGCCGAAUCCCUGAAGCCAAUAGAGACAUCUAUAAGCCGCAGAACAUCUGACCAAAAAUGAUCCGGCUAAAAGCCGAUCAACGAACCAAGUUACCCAAGGGAUAACAGCGCAAUCCCCUCCCAGAGCCCAUAUCUACGAGGGGGUUUACGACCUCGAUGUUGGAUCAGGACAUCCUAAUGGUGC
RNAcentral lists this ribosomal RNA (1188 nucleotides) under Rhynchocypris lagowskii (Amur minnow). RNAcentral describes it as "partial 16S ribosomal RNA". It matches the Rfam family "Bacterial large subunit ribosomal RNA", at positions 724 to 2556 of the family's 2925-position model. The record is from RNAcentral. Lineage: Eukaryota; Metazoa; Chordata; Actinopteri; Cypriniformes; Leuciscidae.